Long non-coding RNA from Dendrobium catenatum, 224 nucleotides. RefSeq lists it as uncharacterized. The transcript is spliced from 2 exons. The record is from RefSeq and is a predicted model, not a curated record. NCBI's taxonomy places the organism in Eukaryota, Viridiplantae, Streptophyta, Magnoliopsida, Asparagales, Orchidaceae.
CAGCACUGGUCUCAUUCACCUUUCUCCUGGUUUGCAAUCACUAUAGCCUGUGCGAUCUGCUUUGAGAGCCGCCAAGCUAGUUGCUGCUUCCUCCCACGUACUCCCUCCUAGCUUCUUUGCCGCAACUGGCCGGAACAGAACUGUGUUUAUCUCUCCAUCCCUAAAUCUCUCACAAUACUCUUCCUUCACGUGAGCUCACCAUAUAUCAAAAAAAAAAAAAAAAA